GGGAGGAAAAGAAACUAACAAGGAUUUUCUUAGUAGCGGCGAGCGAAAAGAAAACAGUUCAGCACUAAGUCACUUUGUCUUAAUGGCAAAUGUGAGAUGCAGUGUAUGGAAUGUCAGAUUUCUAGUAUGAGAAAUUAACGAUUUAAGUCCUUCUUAAAUGAGGCCAUUUACCCAAAGAGGGUGCCAGGCCCGUAUAACGUUAAUGAUUACUAGAUGGCAUUUCCAAAGAGUCGUGUUGCUUGAUAGUGCAGCACUAAGUGGGUGGUAAACUCCAUCUAAAACUAAAUAUAACCAUGAGACCGAUAGUAAACAAGUACCGUGAGGGAAAGUUGAAAAGAACUCUGAAUAGAGAGUUAAAUAGUACGUGAAACUGCUUAGAGGUUAAGCCCGAUGAACCUGAAUAUCCGUUAUGGAAAAUUCAUCAUUAUGAUUUUAAUAUUUAUAAUAUUAUAAUAAUGGUGUGCAUUUUUUCUAUAAAGGACAUUGUAAUCUAUUAACAUAAAUAAAUUUAUCAUAAGAUCAAGUAUGCGUAAGUUUAUUCAAAUUAUUUUGCUUGCAAUUUAACAUAGAAUAAAUGCUCUUGAUUUGAUAAAGUGUUGAUAGAUUUAUUAUAUAUAGUGCUUAAAUAUUUAUAUUUUAUAAUAGCAUAUUAAUCAUUGAUUUUUAUGUUUAUUAUAUGCACUUAUAUGAUUAACAAUGCGAAAGAUUCAGGAUACCUUCGGGACCCGUCUUGAAACACGGACCAAGGAGUCUAACAUAUUUGCAAGUUAUUGGGAAUAAAAACCUAAUAGCGAAAUUAACAUAACUUAUUAAUGGGAUUAGUUUUUAGCCUAUUUAUAGUCUAUUAAUUCAAUCCCGGGGCGUUCUAUCAGUUAUGUAUAAUAAUAUUUAUAUUAUUUAUACCUCUAACUAGAGCGUACCUUGAGCAUAUAUGCUGUGACCCGAAAGAUGGUGAACUAUACUUGAUCAGGUUGAAGUCAGGGGAAACCCUGAUGGAAGACCGAAACAG
Molecule: ribosomal RNA, 1009 nt
Filed under: Chrysomya rufifacies (hairy maggot blowfly)
Lineage: Eukaryota; Metazoa; Arthropoda; Insecta; Diptera; Calliphoridae
Description: eukaryotic LSU rRNA
Rfam family: Eukaryotic large subunit ribosomal RNA
Source: RNAcentral